This 219-nucleotide long non-coding RNA is filed under the name Salvia miltiorrhiza (redroot sage). Its description in RNAcentral is "long non-coding RNA (SMIL_LNC012407)". The record is from RNAcentral. Lineage: Eukaryota; Viridiplantae; Streptophyta; Magnoliopsida; Lamiales; Lamiaceae.
UUUAAGCAUUUCCAUAAUAUCAUUGUCAUCCUUCAAAGUUUUAAACACAUUAGUGUAUGGAAUUUUAUAGAAUAACCAGUCCCAAGACACAUAUCCCAACUUCUCAACUUCAACCUUUAGAUCGAAAUAUCCAAGCCUAUCCUCAUCUAAUCCUAAUUUGCUAACAUAAUUACCUCCAAAAUAUUCUGCAUGUCCCUCUAAAUUCACAACAACACCUCC